RNAcentral lists this long non-coding RNA (1153 nucleotides) under Equus caballus (horse). Its description in RNAcentral is "lncRNA (ENSECAG00000057389.1)". Lineage: Eukaryota; Metazoa; Chordata; Mammalia; Perissodactyla; Equidae. The record is from RNAcentral.
GCCAUGCUGUGGUGGCAUCGCACAUACAACAUAGAGAAAGACUGGCACAGAUGUUAGCUCAGGGCCAAUCUUCCUCAAGCAAAAAUAGGAAGAUUGGCAACAGAUGUUAGCUCAAGGCCAAUCUUCCUCACAAAAAAAAAAAGAAAAAAGAAAUAAAAAAAUAAAAUAAAAUAAGGAGGCUUCAAGUCUCAUAACAAUUGCAACACAAAGAUCCAGCCCUUGAAGAAAAUGACGGGUCAUGAAUCUCUUUUCUUUUCAAAUAUUUAUUUUAAUAGUAAAUCCGAACUGCCAUAUAGUAUUGACAUACCUGUUCUACGCCUUCUACUUCUGGAAUAUAAAACUGCAGCAUGUUCUGAAUUCCAUUCUUCAGAGUAAUGAUUGAACUGGGGCAGCUCGUACAAGAACCUUGGAGUUUCAGCUGGACGAUGCCAUCUUCAAAGCCUUUAUAGAUUACAUCUCCUCCAUCUUCCUGCACAGUUGGCCUGUGGUCACGGAAUAUUUCACAUACCGUAUUCUAGUAUCUAACAAUUCCUUAAUCAUUGCCACAACUUCAUCAUCUUCUUCAGAUCCUAGAAACAAUGAAAAAUAAAACAUAUCAACAGCAGAAAUUUCAUAUCCUUGCAAGUACAAGUAUUAAAACAUGAUGAUUUUAACUUAACAUCUCAUUAAAAAAAUAAAAGCAUAGAAUAUGUAACUUGGUAUGGUGAUGUAAGUGAUUUUGGGGAAAUGGAAAGAUCAUUCGAUUCUCUGAAGAAAAGUUAAGGAGAACUGAUCAACUCAACGUUUGGUGAUAAAGGUGGGUAUACCGAAAUAACUUGAUCUACUGAUGACGUUAGGGUUUGAAUUUUUUGGCCAAUAAAUUUUUAAACUUUCAUCAUUUUCAAGGAUUGAAAAGUCGCAGAGAGAGAGAUUGUCCGGAUUUUGAUGGAAACUUUGAGACAAAAGGGGCUGGCCCCGUGGCUGAGUGGUUAAGUUCACGCACUCCGCUGCAGGCGGCCCAGUGUUUCAUUGGUUCAAAUCCUGAGCACGGACAUGGCACUGCUCGUCAAACCACGCUGAGGCAGCAUCCCACAUGCCACAACCAGAAGGAUCCACAAUGAAGAAUAUACAACUAUGUUCUGGGGGGCUUUGGGGAGAAAAGGGAAAAAAAUAA